UACGUAGGGUGCGAGCGUUAAUCGGAAUUACUGGGCGUAAAGUGUGCGCAGGUGGCCGCGCAAGUCGAGUGUGAAAUCCCCGAGCUUAACUUGGGAAUUGCGCUCGAAACUACGUGGCUCGAGUGUGGCAGAGGAAGGUGGAAUUCCACGUGUAGCGGUGAAAUGCGUAGAUAUCAAGUGGAACACCAGAGGCGAAGGCGAAUCCCUGGAAAAUACCUGACACUGAGGCACGAAAGCUAGGGGAGCAAACAGG
RNAcentral lists this ribosomal RNA (253 nucleotides) under uncultured bacterium. RNAcentral describes it as "partial 16S ribosomal RNA". It matches the Rfam family "Bacterial small subunit ribosomal RNA", at positions 524 to 776 of the family's 1533-position model. The record is from RNAcentral.